Molecule: small RNA, 304 nt
Filed under: Pan troglodytes (chimpanzee)
Lineage: Eukaryota; Metazoa; Chordata; Mammalia; Primates; Hominidae
Description: processed transcript
Source: RNAcentral
AUUCCGGAGUCGGAGAACUGGGAGAGCGGCCCCCGAGGCGGAGCCUCCCUCCCGCCCCGAGUCCCGCUGCCCCCCACCUGGGGGAGAGGGGCGGGCGCCGCGCUGCCUUCCCUCCGCGCCUCGGCCGCGUGGCUUGCGGCUUAUUUUCCCAGCUGGCAAGCGUCGCGCUGCAGACAAGGGAAUGCCUGUGGUCCUGCGUGUUCCGAAGUUCAGGGGCCCCCUGAUCCCGCUGAGCCCUCUCCAGGAGCGAAAGGGUUAAGAAUGAUGAAGGGAAAUGUCAAAGAAACUAGAACACCUGAGCCUC